Molecule: ribosomal RNA, 776 nt
Filed under: uncultured Neocallimastigales
Lineage: Eukaryota; Fungi; Neocallimastigomycota; Neocallimastigomycetes; Neocallimastigales
Description: partial large subunit ribosomal RNA
Rfam family: Eukaryotic large subunit ribosomal RNA
Source: RNAcentral
UAUGUGAUCGUCUCUCGCAUAUCAAUAAGCGGAGGAAAAGAAACUAACAAGGAUUCCCCUAGUAACGGCGAGUGAAGCGGGAAGAGCUCAAAUUUGAAAUCUUAAAGGGUUUCCCUUUACGAAUUGUAGUUUAAAGAAGUGUUUUCUGUUGAGGUUUUGGUAAAAGUUCUUUGGAAUAGGACAUCAUAGAGGGUGAGAAUCCCGUAUUUGACCUUUACUUUCAACUUUGUGAUACACUUUCAAAGAGUCGGAUUGUUUGGGAAUGCAGUCCAAAAUGGGUGGUAAAUUUCAUCUAAAGCUAAAUAUUGGCGAGAGACCGAUUAGCGAACAAGUACCGUGAGGGAAAGAUGAAAAGAACUUUGAAAAGAGAGUUAAACAGUACGUGAAAUUGUCAAAAGGGAAGCGUUUGACACCAGUGUUGUUUUUCUGAAAAUCAAUUAAAGAACUGUUUAUGCUAAGUUGUUUAGGACUUUAUCAGCUAACUGUUUAGUUUUGAGCUUUUCUUUAAUGCACUUUUCAGUUAACAAGUCAACAUCAAUUUCUUUUGCUGUAAAAAAGCUUGAGGAAGGUGGCUUGAGAUUCGUCUUAAGUGUUUAUAGCCUCUUGCCUAUGCAGUCGGAGAGAUUGAGGUCUGCAGCGUAGAUCCUUCGGGGCUAAAUGCAUUUGUGCUAAGUUAUAGCAUUUUAUAGACAACUUGUUGACUAUGAUUUGUCUUGUAGCUUACUCGCUUAUGUUAUUUUACCUACGCUUAGGAUGUUGACUGAUAUGUAGUCGUA